UGGGGAAUAUUGCACAAUGGGCGCAAGCCUGAUGCAGCCAUGCCGCGUGUGUGAAGAAGGCCUUCGGGUUGUAAAGCACUUUCAGCGAGGAGGAAGGCGUUAAGGUUAAUAACCUUGGCGAUUGACGUUACUCGCAGAAGAAGCACCGGCUAACUCCGUGCCAGCAGCCGCGGUAAUACGGAGGGUGCAAGCGUUAAUCGGAAUUACUGGGCGUAAAGCGCACGCAGGCGGUUUGUUAAGUCAGAUGUGAAAUCCCCGAGCUUAACUUGGGAACUGCAUUUGAAACUGGCAAGCUAGAGUCUUGUAGAGGGGGGUAGAAUUCCAGGUGUAGCGGUGAAAUGCGUAGAGAUCUGGAGGAAUACCGGUGGCGAAGGCGGCCCCCCUGGACAAAGACUGACGCUCAGGUGCGAAAGCGUGGG
Molecule: ribosomal RNA, 419 nt
Filed under: uncultured bacterium
Lineage: Bacteria
Description: partial 16S ribosomal RNA
Rfam family: Bacterial small subunit ribosomal RNA
Source: RNAcentral